This 255-nucleotide ribosomal RNA is filed under the name uncultured bacterium. RNAcentral's name for it is "partial 16S ribosomal RNA". It matches the Rfam family "Bacterial small subunit ribosomal RNA", at positions 524 to 776 of the family's 1533-position model. The record is from RNAcentral.
UACGUAGGGUGCGAGCGUUAAUCGGAAUUACUGGGCGUAAAGCGUGCGCAGGCGGUUUUGUAAGCCAGAUGUGAAAUCCCCGGGCUCAACCUGGGAACUGCAUUUGUGACUGCAUAGCUAGAGUACGGUAGAGGGGGGAUGGAAUUCCGCGUGUAGCAGUGAAAUGCGUAGAUAUGCGGAGGAACACCGAUGGCGAAGGCAAUCCCCUGGACCUGUACUGACGCUCAUGCACGAAGGCGUGGGGGAGCAAACAGG